Thalassophryne amazonica is the source of this 963-nucleotide long non-coding RNA. RefSeq lists it as uncharacterized. The record is from RefSeq and is a predicted model, not a curated record. The transcript has 4 exons. NCBI's taxonomy places the organism in Eukaryota, Metazoa, Chordata, Actinopteri, Batrachoidiformes, Batrachoididae.
AUGGAUUGAGUCCUCCGCGCCUGGACUUCUGUCCGCUCUUCUACUGAUACAAGACCUCUGUAGGACUGGGGACAGAUUCAGCGGCAAACUGAAAUCAGUCGAGUCUUGGACUCGGGAAAGACCUCCGCUCUGAAUUGAGUGAUCAAGGCCAGUUGGUCGAUCUUGAAGCAGUGUGAGAGUGAUGACAUACCGACAGCAUCAUAUGAGACAACCAAGGAACACGGAGGUUCAGCUGGAGGUGAGCAGAGAUUCUGGGCCCAAACCAGUGGAAGGUCCAAGGUUAAAUCCUGAUCGUUGAUGAGAUGAGAUGAAAGUCAGCUGUGGACACCCACUCAGCGGAAUGCUGAUCAGCUGUGAGACGUCGCUCAGAGCCAUGUGCUGUCUUGACAGAUGGGUGGAGCCCUGACGUCAGACGCCGCUCAAACAGCUCCCAUGUCCCAUGUCUUGACAGCCAGGGGACGAGCCAUGAUGUCACCAGCAGCUGAUGCACCAAGCAAACAAACUUGCCACAGCAGCUUCACCUGUUCCAGGAUGAUGUCACUGUGAUUUGUCGAGCCCCAAGACCUGCAAGAAGCCAAUCAAGAUAUCAGUUCCAUAAGAUCAGUUCAAACUUCACGCCUAAGUUUAUGAAUGCUAGAAAUGGGCGGGGCUUCAGUUAAUGUUAUUCUAAAUUGUACUUUUCAUUAACGGGCCUAUAUUCAUUGAUACCAGACAGCUGACAUGGAAUAAUUUUCAUGUUCGCAAGCUUUUACUCCUGAAAGUAUGCAGAGCUGUGUUAGCUUUUCAAAAGAAAUCUUGCAUUUGAAUAAAUGUUCCAUGUGCAACAAUCUGAUCUCAGCUCAACCAUAAUUAUUAAAGCUGAGGGUUCACACAAAAAUGAUGUUCAGUAUACCCAAAAUAGAACACGUGGACAUGGUUCAUGCUGUGACACCUUUCAGCUGACACCAUAGAUUCUUGUGGUCU